Long non-coding RNA from Lolium rigidum, 742 nucleotides. RefSeq lists it as uncharacterized. Lineage: Eukaryota; Viridiplantae; Streptophyta; Magnoliopsida; Poales; Poaceae. The record is from RefSeq and is a predicted model, not a curated record. The transcript is spliced from 3 exons.
UGCAGACGGAGAAGGGAGAAGAGCCCCGAUGGACGCUAGGCUCCGCCUCGCCGCGACCACUGCCGAGCUUGGAGCUCACAAUACUACCCUCUUCACCUCCUCUAGCCCACCCGCUCGGUCAUGUCGACAUCAGGGACUAAGCGGCUACGCUCGACUCCGUUCUCCAAUCUGUGAGGCCGAGCUGCCGGAGAGCGAGAUGGGGAUUGGGACAGAGGCGAUCGAAAUUCGCAGCGAUGGGGGCUUCUUUCCAGCAGGCGGCGGGUCGGCCUGCAGGUGGUGUACCAGAAGCCCUCCCUUUCCCGGCAGGCCAGCACACAUCUCCGUCCUUGCACUCCUUUUUCAUCCCCGUUCCGGGUGUUCCCCUUCUUCGAAUCUCAAUCCCUACAUACGGUACGCACUGCCGACGCCGCCACAACCAAUCGAACAGGCAAGUUCAACACUCAGCAGGCCAGGGUAGAGAGGAGGAGGAGGAACUAGCUACAAGGAUCUUCACUACAACCAGAUGAGCCGUCGACCUACUGGAGCUAUUGAAUGCUAAAAAAUGUCAAUGCGGUUAUGUUCCUGGAAUGGAAUCAUAUUAUUUAUCUCGGUAUAGCAAGUUGGAUAUUAGGCAAAUUUCUCAUCAAGGUUGUCGUUGCUUCUUGAAGGAGUUUCAAGAAACAAUAUCUUCUGGCAGCAGGAGAGUGAGAAGGAUGCACUUAUACUGACAAAAGUGUCCAGGAGAAUGAACUGCUUUAUCCGA